Vigna umbellata (rice bean) is the source of this 313-nucleotide non-coding RNA. The record is from RefSeq and is a predicted model, not a curated record. NCBI's taxonomy places the organism in Eukaryota, Viridiplantae, Streptophyta, Magnoliopsida, Fabales, Fabaceae.
GUAACCUAAACCCUAAAGUUUCACGCCUCAUUCCCUCCGCUUCGCUUACGCAGCUUCUUUCUGUCUUUCCAUUCCCUUAGCCGUUGUAUCGGUAAACAGAGAUCCAACAAAUGCAUGCAUCAAAAAUCAAUGGCGGCUGCUAAUCAAAUAAAGAUCUUAUCUUUCACAGCAAAAACAUUACAUAAUCAUCAGAUGAAGAAAUUUGGAGCCGGAACAAACAAACGGAUAUACAGCUAAAGUUUCCUUGCCUUUAUAUAUAUAUAUAUAUAUAUAUAUAUAUAUUUUUUUUUUUUUUGAUGAAUACAUUUACUUU